Molecule: small RNA, 796 nt
Filed under: Pongo abelii (Sumatran orangutan)
Lineage: Eukaryota; Metazoa; Chordata; Mammalia; Primates; Hominidae
Description: processed transcript
Source: RNAcentral
UAUCUGUGUCUGAAGCAGGAGGCUUGAGAUGAUUUUUAUGGACAUACCAAGAAAUAACUGCAUUCAGAAACAGGUCUCUGUUCUAGGAUGUCCCGACCCAGUGGUACAUGAGAUCGCCUAUCAGUACGGAAAAAAUGUAGGAAUAGCUUUUCAGCUAAUAGAUGAUGUAUUGGACUUCACCUCAUGUUCUGACCAGAUGGGCAAACCAACAUCAGCUGAUCUGAAGCUCGGGUUAGCCACUGGUCCUGUCCUGUUUGCCUGUCAGCAGUUCCCAGAAAUGAAUGCUAUGAUCAUGCGACGGUUCAGUUUGCCGGGAGAUGUAGACAGAGCUCGACAGUAUGUAUUACAGAGUGAUGGUGUGCAACAAACAACCUACCUCGCCCAGCAGUACUGCCAUGAAGCAAUAAGACAGAUCAGUAAACUUCGACCAUCCCCAGAAAGAGAUGCCCUCAUUCAGCUUUCAGAAACUGUACUCACAAGAGAUAAAUGACAACUCUUUCUGUUCUUUCUGGCAGCUAUCUUACCAGACUGUGCCUAAAGAAUUUUGUGGAAUACACUUUGUUUGCUUCAUGUGCAGAUAACCAAAAAUCAUUUUAAAAGAUAUCAAACUUAUUGAUGGGCAAUUUAUUUUUUUUAUUGCAAAAGUUUUUUCAGAAAACUUUUUAAAUGUAAUUAAACCAUCUAGUCCUAUAAAUUCUAGUCCUAUAAAUUAUAAUCAAGGUAUCUUGAUGGUUAUAUGUGGUAUUGUUUACACUGUUAAUAUCCACAUGUAAGGCCAUUACACAAAUAAAUAACC